Long non-coding RNA from Drosophila ananassae, 2097 nucleotides. RefSeq lists it as uncharacterized. The record is from RefSeq and is a predicted model, not a curated record. NCBI's taxonomy places the organism in Eukaryota, Metazoa, Arthropoda, Insecta, Diptera, Drosophilidae. The transcript is spliced from 2 exons.
UCAUAAUCUCAGAACUUUCCUUACAAACUCCCUCUAAAUAAUGUCUAUUUCUCAAGUUAAUGUGGCAAAUCGCUUGCAGAAUGUAAGAAUCUGAGGCAAAUGAACCACAUCAUUCCAUUCCAUUCCAGAAGAAAACAACUUCAUCAUCUUGUGGCAACAAAAAAGAUCUGGGAAGACUGACGUUGAAGACCCCCAGUGAAGGAAAAAAAAAAAAAACAGACAAGAAGCUGUCUUUAUACGUCUUUCAUUCAGACUAGAUCGGAAUUUUCUUUUAUUUUCUUUAUCUUUUUCUGCAAAGUCAGAGGAAGAAACAAGGCAGAUGGAGUAUCUUUAUCGUUCGGGGUGGGCUAUUUAAAUUAAAUUUGCAAUUUCAGUGAUGUGAAUAGUGUCUAAUUGCCAGGAUUGGAGUUCAGGAAGUAUUUGUGCUAUUUCUAAUAGCACUUCCCUAGCUCCCACAGCCACUUAUCCACCCGGAUCCGCUCCGGAUGAGCACAAUUUCCGCUAGAGAAGGAAUUGCCAACUGUCGCCGAUAAAUUUUCGCGACGGCGUCGAGUGUCCAUAAAAGUGUAUGUGUUGUAGUACGGGGACAGAAAUAGUUUUAACUGCCCCACCAAAAAUAUAUACCCACCAUGGAGUACCAGUAUCCACGUCUCUCUAUCUCUAUGGAUCCCCCAAAUCCAAAUCCAUUUCAUCUUCUCCAGAACGGAACUGCAAAUGGCAAAGUGAAUUAGCCGGGAAUUGGCAGAGAUCGCAUUUAAUGGCGGCCAUAACUUCAUUUUGGGGCUAAUGUUUGGGGCACUGUCGCCGGGAUUUUCCCGGAAAAAAAAACGGAAACUGAGUAAUAAUUUUUAUGAUUUAAUUAUCUGAGAUUAUUUUUAGUUAGUUUUUCAAAGGGAAGUUGAGAGUAUUAGAGGAUUAAAAGGUGUUUGAAGGUUGCAAGUCUUAUGUUAUUGAAUUUUUUCAAAACAUUAAAAUUUAAUAGGUUUUUAAAACAUUUUGUAACCUAAUUUAUAAUGGAAAAGUAUUUCUUUGUUCUAUAAAGUUGUAAUUCUGCUCAGAAUUUCCACUUACGAACCAUAUAAGUGGCUUCUGCUCAUUAGAAAAAAUGUUUUUGAAAAAAUACCUAUACUUUUAGGUUUUAAAAAUCUAUACCAUUUAUUUUUUAUCAUAAUUUAUUUAAUAAAAAGUAGGCUCUUAUGUUUUUAAGUUCUAGUUCUUCUAUAAGUUUAAAAUAACAACCGAAAAAAGUCUCUUCUACUAAUUGGAAUAAAUGUUUUUGAAAAAAUACCAAAACCCCUUGUAUCACAUGAUCAAAAAAAUACGUAAAUCAGUUGGGAAUUAAACUGGGAACAUAUAACCCAUAUGUUCUCAGCAGAUCUAUGCUUCCCAUACACAUAUAUAUGUUAUAUCUGGUGUAUAUAUAGUAUUUCAUAAAUCCAUACGCACUCCAUCACAUUAUUUGGCUACUUUAUGGGCUCUUUUUCGAUUUCAUUUAGCACUCGGAUAGUUUCGAACCAUCCACCACUAUUUUGUUGUUCAAUAUUUGUAUUUUCUUUUUUUUUUUUUAAAGAACAGGGGGGCACUGGCACUUCCAGAACAUCUCGUGUUCGCCGCUCGUGUGUUUUCCUCACUUUUUUGCUUAAUUCUGAUUACAUUUAUUUAUGAAACCGGGCGUACAUAUAAUUUCCGUUCGCCGGCCCCAACUGCUCCAAUGAAUUAUGUCAAGAGAAGAAAACAAAAAACAAGCCAGGGGAAAAAAUAUAAAAAACAACAGAACGGAAAAACUAAUAGUGCUGUUGCUGCUCUGCCAGUGAAAUCAAAAAAAAAUGAAAAUCAAAAAAAUGAAAAGCGCACAAGUAAAAAUAGCAAAUGAAAAGCGCAUCAAAAAAAAAAAACAAGAAGGAGAACAGGAAAAAAAGUAUACACGGUGAGAAAUGUGAAAACUUCAAAGCGAAUGCAAAUCAAAGUGAAAAUAAAGGAGAGGGAGGUGCAUCAUCAGGAGGUUGGGGAUAAGUGUAUUCAAAGGUGCAACUGAACCAAAUUGGCACACCUUCCCAGAGUCCAAAGACGAAGAAACUUGGCCGAAACCGAAGAAAA